Fundulus heteroclitus (mummichog) is the source of this 488-nucleotide long non-coding RNA. RefSeq lists it as uncharacterized. The transcript is spliced from 3 exons. The record is from RefSeq and is a predicted model, not a curated record. NCBI's taxonomy places the organism in Eukaryota, Metazoa, Chordata, Actinopteri, Cyprinodontiformes, Fundulidae.
GUAAUGGAGGAAAAACUGUCUGACCCAAGCUUCAUGUCUGACCUGCAGUGGCAGACAUUGGAGGGAGCACUGUGGAUGAGGCCACAAGACGGAUGAUGGUCUUCAUCAUGGACCACGACCUGUCAAGGCAGUAUAACUUUGUGGGCCGGAAUGGAAAGCGGGAAUUCAGGACUUUAAAGCUGUUUGAAGUCAUAUUUGGAGCUUUAAAGAAGAACAGCCUAACCAGCCAGAUCACCAGGAUGUGGAUAGGUCAGUGUCAAAAUGGCUGAUUGGAUCAAGGGACAGGGGAGGCAAUAGACAGGCCAGACAGGUCCGUCCUUCUCCCUCCUUCUCCCACUAGAUCCACUUCUCGCUCAGCCGAAAAAAAAUUUUUCUGUUCCAUUUUUUGUCUUGUAUAAAACUUUCAUAAUCUGUAUCAUAUUGUGUGUAUUAUGCAUCUGUAAAAUACAUAUUAUGCUUUUGAAAUAAUAAAAAACCUUGAACAAUGA